Molecule: long non-coding RNA, 1272 nt
Organism: Homo sapiens (human)
Lineage: Eukaryota; Metazoa; Chordata; Mammalia; Primates; Hominidae
Gene: RASSF8-AS1
Product: RASSF8 antisense RNA 1
Source: Ensembl
AUUCAAAGCUCGCGUCCCUUCAAGUUGAAUCUUCCGGCUUUGUGCGAUUUACCCUCUCAAACUUUCUAGUUUGCAAGUCAGAAUUACUUUGAACGUCCCCUCUUCUGGACUCCCCUCCCCAAAGGGACUGGCGGCAAAGGAGAAUAGAAUGCAGAUGGUUAAUAGUUCAAAUGAAAUUUAAAAACCUAUAAACCAAUAUUUUUUUAGAGGAGAAAAGCGUUCACCAAACCGCCACCCGGCAAGCGAGCAUCCGAUUUCCAUCCGGAGGAAAAAAUAUUUUAAAAACCAGACAUAAAAUUCCCUUUGCAAGAAAAGUGGCCUCUAAACUCCCUUGCCAAGGACACUGGGAGGAAGCAGAAAAGCAAAGACCAAGCUCGUACUUUUCAGUCCGCGGCUUGUGUGCCGCGAGGAGAGGCGCAAAGGGUGACACACCAGGAAAGCAGGUAGCAGGCAAGAGUGUGGUUAUCGUUGGACCAGGAUUCAGGAUCUGACUGAGUAGCUGACUCUUAAUCCAGUUUGUGUUGAUCACCAGGAGGAUCUGGACCUCAGUAUUACCACAUCUAGAGCUAUAAUCACAUCCCUGUUAAGCCUUCCUGAGAUCACACCAAAUGUCCUUGAUGGGAAUUGUAAACAACCCUUACUUCUGGUUUCUAAUGAUAUUCCAGGAAAGGAGCCUAACUAGAGUCAGUGAUAUGCCAACUCCACCUUUGCCUUCCACCAUGUUUGGAAGCUCCCUGAGGCCUCACCAGGAGCAGAUGCUCGUCCCAUGCUUCCUAUAAGCCUGCAGAACUGUGAGCCAUAAUAAACUGUGAAUUAUAAAUUGCCUUUAUAGCAAUGCAAAUGGACCAGUACAGAUGGGAUGCUGGGAAGACAGUUGUUUCCACCUUCAGUAAAGUCCGUGGAACACAGUUGUGACUAUAUUCUAGGCCAGCCAAGAUGCUUGUACUCAGAAAGGAGUGGUCUCAGGACCAUAAGAAAGUGAAAAAAUAAAAAUAAGAAAAUAAAGAAGGGAUUGUCAAUGAAUCAGAAUUCAUCAAGGUCAAAGUCUUAGGAAAUUCCUUCAUGAGGAAGUCUAGGGGGGCUAUGGAAAUGAAAUUUUUAAACAAAUAGGUAUGUGGUGCUGGCAGGAAUAAAUUAUGGACUUAUGAAUAUAACAUAAGAUUCUUUAUUACCUGGUCUCACCCGUCUUUCCACCUCUGCCCCCCUUCUUGCCCGACUCUGUGUAUCACCCAUAAUAAACUACUUACAGCUUCCUAGUGUUAAAUUUACCCU